AGUGAACGCUGGCGGUAGGCCUAACACAUGCAAGUCGAACGGCAGCACAGUAAGAGCUUGCUCUUACGGGUGGCGAGUGGCGGACGGGUGAGGAAUACAUCGGAAUCUACUUUUUCGUGGGGGAUAACGUAGGGAAACUUACGCUAAUACCGCAUACGACCUACGGGUGAAAGCAGGGGAUCUUCCGACCUUGCGCGAUUGAAUGAGCCGAUGUCGGAUUAGCUAGUUGGCGGGGUAAAGGCCCACCAAGGCGACGAUCCGUAGCUGGUCUGACAGGAUGAUCAGCCACACUGGAACUGAGACACGGUCCAGACUCCUACGGGAGGCAGCAGUGGGGAAUAUUGGACAAUGGGCGCAAGCCUGAUCCAGCCAUACCGCGUGGGUGAAGAAGGCCUUCGGGUUGUAAGGCCCUUUUGUUGGGAAAGAAAAGCAGCAGGUUAAUACCCCGCUGUUCUGACGGUACCCAAAGAAUAAGCACCGGCUAACUUCGUG
Molecule: ribosomal RNA, 492 nt
Filed under: uncultured bacterium
Lineage: Bacteria
Description: partial 16S ribosomal RNA
Rfam family: Bacterial small subunit ribosomal RNA
Source: RNAcentral